AAAUCAGACCCACAUGACCCUGUGUAAAAAAAAAAAGUGAUUGCUUGUUAAAACAUAAUUUCACUGUGGUUCAUCACACCUGAGUUCACUGCCUCUAGAUGCACAUAGUCAUGAUUGGUCCAACACCUGUUCUCAAUCAAGGCAUCACUAAAGUAAGAUCUGUUGGAGAAAGUGAAGUAUAGUACACUAAAAGAUUUACAAAAGCUUGACAUCAUGGCGAGAUUCAAAUAAAUUUCCAAACAAGUGAGAAAGAAAGUAACUGAGAUCUCUCAGUCUGGAAAAGGUYACAAAGUCAUUUUUGAAGCUUUGGGACUCCAGCAAAGCACAGAGAGAGGCACUAAAUGCCAAAUGGUGAAAACGGGAACAGCAGUGAACCUUCCCAGGUUGAUCAAAAUCAAAGGCAUUUUGUUAUARUUUCUGCUGCAUUAUGGAAUAAUGUUACGUUUUGUGUCAAUUUAGGACACUCAGGAAGGUAGAGYUGUGUGACAUCAGCGUAGYUGUGAUAAUGAARACUGUCUUCUAAUGAUUCCACCCUAUGGAUCCACGGAUCGUUUUCAACUUGGUCUUUCUUAUGGCCGCUCUCCUCACCAACUCCCUCCAUGAUGACAGCCUCGUAGCAGAAACGGCUGCGGUCUGUACCUUUAGGAUGACAACCACAGAAACUCUGACCACAUCCAGAGCUCCUUUAACAACAACCACAACAGCUGCUACAACAGCUACAGCAGCUCUAACCACAACAGCAGGUCAAAUGACAACUACAGGAACUCCAGGUAUCUUAGCUACUUAAUGUAGUCAUAGCUUAACGUAGCUUUAUUAAAAUAGCAGAAAAUAAACAAACUGAACUGAUGAA
Non-coding RNA from Poecilia reticulata (guppy), 850 nucleotides. The record is from RefSeq and is a predicted model, not a curated record. NCBI's taxonomy places the organism in Eukaryota, Metazoa, Chordata, Actinopteri, Cyprinodontiformes, Poeciliidae.